This 82-nucleotide transfer RNA is filed under the name Ixodes scapularis (black-legged tick). It matches the Rfam family "tRNA". Rfam says of the family: Transfer RNA (tRNA) molecules are approximately 80 nucleotides in length. Their secondary structure includes four short double-helical elements and three loops (D, anti-codon, and T loops). Further hydrogen bonds mediate the characteristic L-shaped molecular structure. tRNAs have two regions of fundamental functional importance: the anti-codon, which is responsible for specific mRNA codon recognition, and the 3' end, to which the tRNAs corresponding amino acid is attached (by aminoacyl-tRNA synthetases). tRNAs cope with the degeneracy of the genetic code in two manners: having more than one tRNA (with a specific anti-codon) for a particular amino acid; and 'wobble' base-pairing, i.e. permitting non-standard base-pairing at the 3rd anti-codon position. Lineage: Eukaryota; Metazoa; Arthropoda; Arachnida; Ixodida; Ixodidae. The record is from Rfam by way of RNAcentral.
GCAGUCAUGGCCGAGUGGUUAAGGCGAUGGAUUAGAAAUCCAUUGGGGUCUCCCCGCAUAGGUUCGAAUCCUGUCGACUGCG